UACGAAGGGGGCUAGCGUUGCUCGGAAUCACUGGGCGUAAAGCGCACGUAGGCGGCUUCUUAAGUCAGGGGUGAAAUCCUGGAGCUCAACUCCAGAACUGCCUUUGAUACUGAGGAGCUUGAGUCCGGGGGAGGUGAGUGGAACUGCGAGUGUAGAGGUGAAAUUCGUAGAUAUUCGCAAGAACACCAGUGGCGAAGGCGGCUCACUGGCCCGAUACUGACGCUGAGGCACGAAAGCGUGGGGAGCAAACAGG
This 253-nucleotide ribosomal RNA is filed under the name uncultured bacterium. Its description in RNAcentral is "partial 16S ribosomal RNA". It matches the Rfam family "Bacterial small subunit ribosomal RNA", at positions 524 to 776 of the family's 1533-position model. The record is from RNAcentral.